Molecule: ribosomal RNA, 114 nt
Filed under: uncultured bacterium
Lineage: Bacteria
Description: partial 16S ribosomal RNA
Rfam family: Bacterial small subunit ribosomal RNA
Source: RNAcentral
CCGGUGAAUACGUUCCCGGGCCUUGUACACACCGCCCGUCAAGCCAUGGAAGUUGGGAGUACCUGAAGUCCCCCGAGCAAUCGGAGCCUAGGGUAAAAACCAAUGACUGGGGCU